RNAcentral lists this ribosomal RNA (374 nucleotides) under uncultured bacterium. RNAcentral's name for it is "bacterial SSU rRNA". It matches the Rfam family "Bacterial small subunit ribosomal RNA", at positions 362 to 758 of the family's 1533-position model. The record is from RNAcentral.
UAUUGGACAAUGGGCGCAAGCCUGAUCCAGCCAUGCCGCGUGAGUGAUGAAGGCCUUCGGGUUGUAAAGCUCUUUUGGCGGGGACGAUGAUGACGGUACCCGCAGAAUAAGCCCCGGCUAACUUCGUGCCAGCAGCCGCGGUAAGACGAAGGGGGCUAGCGUUGUUCGGAAUUACUGGGCGUAAAGCGAGUGUAGGUGGUUGUCCAAGUUGGAUGUGAAAGCCUUGAGCUCAACUCAAGAAAUGCAUUCAGGACUGGAUGGCUAGAGGACCGGAGAGGAUAGUGGAAUUCCCAGUGUAGUGGUGAAAUACGUAGAGAUUGGGAAGAACACCAGUGGCGAAGGCGGCUUCGGACGGUUCUACACUAAGACCGAAG